Felis catus (domestic cat) is the source of this 761-nucleotide long non-coding RNA. RefSeq lists it as uncharacterized. The transcript is spliced from 3 exons. The record is from RefSeq and is a predicted model, not a curated record. Lineage: Eukaryota; Metazoa; Chordata; Mammalia; Carnivora; Felidae.
CCCAGGGCUGGGGCACCUAGGAGGGCCUUUUUUAACUGAUUAAAGGCAAUUUCUUCUUUUUCAGCCCAUUUAAAUGUUUUCCCCUCUUUGGUAGCUUCAUAUAGGGGCCUGGUGAUCUCAGCAAAACCCGGAAUCCAGAGGCAGCAGUAGCCAGCCGAUCCUAGGAAUUCCCUUACUUCCCUUUGGGAGGUGGGAAUAGGGAUCUUCAGGACAGUUUCUUUUCUGGCAUCUGAUAACCGCCGCUGUCCACCCUCCAGGAUGUACCCCAGCCGCUGACUCCUUAGAGAGCUGCAAAACGUCUACAGAGGACCUAAGAGAAUUAGACGUCCUGGGAUAUAAAGUCUCUGCAAAGAAGGUGCAGAUUUGCUUGGGCUCUGUAAUAUACUUGGGCUACCAACUGCGUGAAGGCUCUGCAACAUACGCUGCCAGCUAUCCAUGACGUGAUAAAAGAAAGCCGUAAAGAUCCCCCCCCCCCCCCCCCCAUGAGACUAAAUCAUCACAUCAAGAGAUCGGACCUGGAGAUUGGGUCUGGACACAGCGCCACACCUCGCCUAACCUAGAAGCUCACUGGACCGGGCCUUAUCCCAUCAUCUUAUCUACCCCAUCAGCAGUGAAAGUGGCUGGACAAAGUCAUUGGAUCCAUCGCUCACAGACCAAGGCCGCCCAUCCUGAUCACAUUCCACAAGAAUGGACACUUCAGCAAACAGGAAAUCCUCUUAGGGUUCGACUAAUUAAAAUCUCCUGACCUUCUACUUGAUAAA